This 293-nucleotide unclassified non-coding RNA is filed under the name fungal sp. Its description in RNAcentral is "partial internal transcribed spacer region". The stretch from base 1 to 46 matches the Rfam family "Eukaryotic small subunit ribosomal RNA", at positions 1786 to 1831 of the family's 1831-position model. Lineage: Eukaryota; Fungi. The record is from RNAcentral.
AAGUCGUAACAAGGUUUCCGUAGGUGAACCUGCGGAAGGAUCAAUACAAAAUUUGAGAUUUUGGGUGGUGGAGGAUUCGUCGGGGGUUUUCGGAUGGCGAUCCGCGAGGGAUGAGAUGGAAAUCUCAACCAAAGUGGGUCGUAAUUUGUGAAGGAUCCCGACGGGGCCACGCCACACAUAUGCCCGGGCCGUUUUAUUACAUGGUCCCGUGACAUUUGCGCAUGUAGAGUUUGACAGAGUUUGGUUGGUUGGAGAAAAAAGGACAACUUUUAACAAUGGAUCUCUUGGCUCCU